RNAcentral lists this unclassified non-coding RNA (334 nucleotides) under soil metagenome. Its description in RNAcentral is "partial contains 5.8S ribosomal RNA, internal transcribed spacer 2, and large subunit ribosomal RNA". The stretch from base 1 to 120 matches the Rfam family "5.8S ribosomal RNA", at positions 35 to 154 of the family's 154-position model. The record is from RNAcentral.
GAUGAAGAACGUAGCGAAAUGCGAUAAGUAAUGCGAAUUGCAGAUUUCAGUGAGUCAUCGAAUCUUUGAACGCACAUUGCGCCCCCCAGUAUUCUGGCGGGCAUGCCUGUUCGAGCGUCAUUUCAACCAUCAAGCCCUGCUUGUGUUGGGGUCCUGCGGCUGCCCGCAGGCCCUGAAAACCAGUGGCGGGCUCGCUAGUCACACCGAGCGCAGUAGCACAUCUCGCUCAGGGCGUGCGGCGGGCUCCAGCCGUUAAAGCACCCACCUUUCGCAAGGUUGACCUCGGAUCAGGUAGGAAUACCCGCUGAACUUAAGCAUAUCAAUAAGCGGAGGA